This is a long non-coding RNA of Teleopsis dalmanni, 517 nucleotides long. RefSeq lists it as uncharacterized. The record is from RefSeq and is a predicted model, not a curated record. NCBI's taxonomy places the organism in Eukaryota, Metazoa, Arthropoda, Insecta, Diptera, Diopsidae. The transcript has 2 exons.
AUAUUUGCUAUUUUUUAUUUUAUUUGGUAGCCUUGUGGUACUAACCAACAGUUAUGAACCGCUUGAUACUGAUCAUUACUUAGACGCACAACGAUCUUGCUUCUAUCGAUUUAAGCCUCCGUUUAACUUAAGCACUAAAUAUUUACUAAUGAACUUUCCAAAAGAUGAGAGUAGCGAUUGUUACAUACAAUGUUUACUGGAAAUAUGGAAUUUUUAUAAUCCAACCCAUGGCUUAUCCGUAAUAGAAGUUACAAAACAAACUUCCCACUUGUUUCCGAAAGUCUUUAAUGAAAUAAGAAAAUCACUUGAAUUAUGUAUGAAAAAAUUUCCGGAAGAAGGCGACAAAUACAGAUCUUGUACCUGGAUUGGAAAUGUCUUUAAAUGUUUUCUUAAGGACUACAGGAAAGUAUUUUACCUAAGCUUUAAUAUACAGGAACUGCCUUGUAUUCAAGCGUAAGAGACUGUUGGAACUCUAUACACGUUCAAGUUAAGAAAUGUAUGUCUUAAAGAAAUUUAA